Molecule: ribosomal RNA, 256 nt
Filed under: uncultured bacterium
Lineage: Bacteria
Description: partial 16S ribosomal RNA
Rfam family: Bacterial small subunit ribosomal RNA
Source: RNAcentral
UACGUAGGGUGCGAGCGUUGUCCGGAAUUAUUGGGCGUAAAGAGCUUGUAGGCGGUUUGUCGCGUCUGCCGUGAAAGCCCAGGGCUUAACCCUGGGUCUGCGGUGGGUACGGGCAGACUAGAGUGUGGUAGGGGAGACUGGAAUUCCUGGUGUAGCGGUGAAAAUGCGCAGAUAUCAGGAGGAACACCGAUGGCGAAAGGCAGGUCUCUGGGCCACUACUGACGCUGAGAAGCGAAAGCAUGGGGGAGCAAACAGG